AAAUAAGAAACAAUUAAUUGUAUUUAGUUUCGACCUAAGCCUUAGAUCAUAAAUCCUUAUUUA
RNAcentral lists this transfer RNA (63 nucleotides) under Neophonus bruchi. RNAcentral describes it as "tRNA-Arg". The record is from RNAcentral. Lineage: Eukaryota; Metazoa; Arthropoda; Insecta; Coleoptera; Staphylinidae.